This 702-nucleotide ribosomal RNA is filed under the name uncultured bacterium. RNAcentral describes it as "bacterial SSU rRNA". It matches the Rfam family "Bacterial small subunit ribosomal RNA", at positions 55 to 755 of the family's 1533-position model. The record is from RNAcentral.
AUGCAGUCGAACGGUAACAGGUCUUCGGAUGCUGACGAGUGGCGAACGGGUGAUUAAUACAUCGGAACGUGCCCGAUCGUGGGGGAUAACGAAGCGAAAGCUUUGCUAAUACCGCAUAAGAUCUAAGGAUGAAAGCAGGGGACCGCAAGGCCUUGCGCGAACGGAGCGGCCGAUGGCAGAUUAGGUAGUUGGUGGGAUAAAAGCUUACCAAGCCGACGAUCUGUAGCUGGUCUGAGAGGACGACCAGCCACACUGGGACUGAGACACGGCCCAGACUCCUACGGGAGGCAGCAGUGGGGAAUUUUGGACAAUGGGCGAAAGCCUGAUCCAGCCAUGCCGCGUGCAGGAUGAAGGCCUUCGGGUUGUAAACUGCUUUUGUACGGAACGAAAAGACUCUGGUUAAUACCUGGGGUCCAUGACGGUACCGUAAGAAUAAGCACCGGCUAACUGCGUGCCAGCAGCCGCGGUAAUACGUAGGGUGCAAGCGUUAAUCGGAAUUACUGGGCGUAAAGCGUGCGCAGGCGGUUAUAUAAGACAGAUGUGGAAUCCCCGGGCUCAACCUGGGAACUGCAUUUGUGACUGUAUAGCUAGAGUACGGUAGAGGGGGAUGGAAUUCCGCGUGUAGCAGUGAAAUGCGUAGAUAUGCGGAGGAACACCGAUGGCGAAGGCAAUCCCCUGGACCUGUACUGACGCUCAUGCACG